AAUGGGGGCACCUGAUCCAUCAUGCCGCGUGAGUGAAGAAGGCCUUCGGGUUGUAAAGCCCUUUUGUCAGGGAAGAAACAGCAGCUCUAACACAGUUUGCGAAUGACGGUACCUGAAGAAUAAGCACCGGCUAACUACGUGCCAGCAGCCGCGGUAAUACGUAGGGUGCAAGCGUUAAUCGGAAUUACUGGGCGUAAAGCGUGCGCAGGCGGUUAUGUAAGACAGGCGUGAAAUCCCCGGGCUUAACCUGGGAAUUGCGCUUGUGACUGCAUAGCUAGAGUAUGUCAGAGGGGGGUAGAAUUCCACGUGUAGCAGUGAAAUGCGUAGAGAUGUGGAGGAAUACCAAUGGCGAAGGCAGCCCCCUGGGAUAAUACUGACGCUCAUGCACGAAAGCGUGGGGAGCAAACAGGAUUAGAUACCCUGGUAGUCCACGCCCUAAACGAUGCUGACUAGUUGUUCGGGAAUUUAUUCCUGAGUAACGUAGCUAACGCGUGAAGUCAGCCGCCUGGGGAGUACGGUCGCAAGAUUAAAACUCAAAGGAAUUGACGGGGACCCGCACAAGCGGUGGAUGAUGUGGAUUAAUUCGAUGCAACGCGAAAAACCUUACCUACCCUUGACAUGCCACUAACGAAGUAGAGAUACCUUAGGUGCCCGUAAGGGACAGUGGACACAGGUGCUGCAUGGCUGUCGUCAGCUCGUGUCGCGAGAAUGUGGGGUUAGUCCCGCAAGGAGCGGCACCUGGUCUCAGUUGGCUAGCAGAGCCUCU
Molecule: ribosomal RNA, 766 nt
Filed under: uncultured bacterium
Lineage: Bacteria
Description: bacterial SSU rRNA
Rfam family: Bacterial small subunit ribosomal RNA
Source: RNAcentral